AGUGAACGCUGGCGGUAGGCCUAACACAUGCGAGUCGAACGGCAGCACAGUAAGAGCUUGCUCUUACGGGUGGCGAGUGGCGGACGGGUGAGGAAUACAUCGGAAUCUACUUUUUCGUGGGUGAUAACGUAGGGAAACUUACGCUAAUACCGCAUACGACCUACGGGUGAAAGCAGUGGAUCUUCGGACCUUGCGCGAUUGAAUGAGCCGAUGUCGGAUUAGCUAGUUGGCGGGGUAAAGGCCCACCAAGGCGACGAUCCGUAGCUGGUCUGAGAGGAUGAUCAGCCACACUGGAACUGAGACACGGUCCAGACUCCUACGGGAGGCAGCAGUGGGGAAUAUUGGACAAUGGGCGCAAGCCUGAUCCAGCCAUACUGCGUGGGUGAAGAAGGCCUUCGGGUUGUAAAGCCCUUUUGUUGGGAAAGAAAAGCAGCAGGUUAAUACCCCGCUGUUCUGACGGUACCCAAAGAAUAAGCACCGGCUAACUUCGUG
RNAcentral lists this ribosomal RNA (492 nucleotides) under uncultured bacterium. Its description in RNAcentral is "partial 16S ribosomal RNA". It matches the Rfam family "Bacterial small subunit ribosomal RNA", at positions 29 to 507 of the family's 1533-position model. The record is from RNAcentral.